CUUGGUGGUCCCAUCUGGAAAGUGUGAUGGGGAAUGCAGCCAGACGCCCCUGUGGCCCCUCCCAUCUGUGGGGUCCUGAGCGUCUGGCCCCGUGCUCACGGCCUUGAUGGGCCAUGGAGUAAUUGAUAGUAAGCGGUGGGCAUGUGCAGCCCUCCCUGCACCAGGGCCCUCGGGAGGGUGAACAGUUCACUUCACAGUAGGUCUCUGUGGCUUACCUGGAAUGGAGCUGGCUCCAAGAGCAAUUUCCCCUGGAUGAAACAAUCUCUGGAAUCCACCGUAUAUCAUUCACCAUGACGUCUUCUGUUUAAACAGCAGCAGCCGGCAGAGGGUGAGCGCUGAGGCCGUGCUGGGGGAGGGCCUGUGUCCCAGCCCCUUACCCCGGCCCCAUGGAAGGCCCCGCUGGGGGGAAAGCAGGCAUAUGGAACCCAUUUGGGAAAUUCUUUCUGCAGAAACCACUUUUUCCAGCUGGCUGUUCUCCCUGCUCUCCAAGGCUCCUGGACUUCCCUUCAGACCCAAGUGCAAGCUCUCUGUGACUUCCACCCACUGCUUCUCACAGGAGUCUCUGCCACCACCAGGCCCAGAGCACACAUCCGCCGUCCGGGACAGGCACGUGGCCACAGCUUCCUGGAGUGCAAGUCUGCAUGUGGCCAUGGCUGCCGCCCGCUGAGGGGUGAGCACGUGCCUGGAGACCAUGAGAAGGAGUCAUUCUCAUGCUCCUGGGAGUUUAGAUAAGGCUCUGUGCCCCUUGGAGCCAAACCUCUGAAUUCCACGGAGUUGCUGGGUCAAAGGACAUACUUAAGUCUGAGCUGUGGACACAAGGUGCCAACGAGCUCUCCAGAAAGGGGUGACUGUGAUAGGUCCCACCACCUGUGCCUCCACUCUCCAAAUUUUACCACCAUUCUUUUGCAUCUUUGCCAAUUUGGUGAGUGCAAAAUGAUAUUUUAGUUGUCUAUGCUUUAAGUGGAUUGAAGGAUGCUUGAAGUUUUAUUAUUUGUAAGUGAAACAUUGUUACCUGUAUUUACUGACCUACUUUCCUUUUAUGAAUGUCCCAAUUAUAUCUUUUGUCCAUUUUUCGAUUAUUGUGUUUCUUGUUCUUAUUGAUUUAUAAGAGCUCUUUGUAUAUUCAGGAUAUGAAGAGGGUCAGAGUUUAUUCAUGAAUGACAUUUCUCUUCUCUGAAGGGGGCAAAUGGC
This is a long non-coding RNA of Callithrix jacchus (white-tufted-ear marmoset), 1191 nucleotides long. Lineage: Eukaryota; Metazoa; Chordata; Mammalia; Primates; Cebidae. The record is from Ensembl.